UAUCGAUGAAGAACGCAGCGAAAUGCGAUAAGUAAUGUGAAUUGCAGAAUUCAGUGAAUCAUCGAAUCUUUGAACGCACAUUGCGCCCCUUGGUAUUCCGGGGGGCAUGCCUGUUCGAGCGUCAUUACAACCCUCAAGCAUUGCUUGGUCUUGGGCUGCGCGGCUAACCCCGCGGGCCUUAAAAUCAGUGGCGGUGCCGUCGGGCUCUGAGCGUAGUAAUUCUUCUCGCUAUAGAGUCCCGGUGGUGACUGGCCAGCAACCCCCAAUUUUCUAUGGUUGACCUCGGAUCAGGUAGGGAUACCCGCUGAACUUAAGCAUAUCAAUAAGCGGAGGAAAAGAAACCAACAGGGAUUGCCUCAGUAACGGCGAGUGAAGCGGCAACAGCUCAAAUUUGAAAUCUGGCUCUUUCAGGGUCCGAGUUGUAAUUUGUAGAAGAUGCUUCGGGUGUGGCUCCGGUCUAAGUUCCUUGGAACAGGACGUCAUAGAGGGUGAGAAUCCCGUAUGUGACUGGUUGCCUUCGCCCAUGUGAAGCUCUUUCGACGAGUCGAGUUGUUUGGGAAUGCAGCUCAAAAUGGGUGGUAAAUUUCAUCUAAAGCUAAAUAUUGGCCAGAGACCGAUAGCGCACAAGUAGAGUGAUCGAAAGAUGAAAAGCACUUUGGAAAGAGAGUUAAACAGUACGUGAAAUUGUUGAAAGGGAAGCGCUUGCAACCAGACUUGCGCGCGGCUGAUCAUCCGGGGUUCUCCCCGGUGCACUCGGUCGCGCUCAGGCCAGCAUCGGUUUCGGGGGUUGGAUAAAGGCCUUGGGAAUGUAGCUCUCUUCGGGGAGUGUUAUAGCCCUCGGUGCAAUGCAGCCACCCGGGACCGAGGACCGCGCUUCGGCUAGGAUGCUGGCGUAAUGGUUGUAAGCGACCCGUCUUGAAACACGG
Molecule: ribosomal RNA, 926 nt
Filed under: uncultured fungus
Lineage: Eukaryota; Fungi
Description: eukaryotic LSU rRNA
Rfam family: Eukaryotic large subunit ribosomal RNA (bases 278-926)
Source: RNAcentral